CUUUGACAUUUUCGGUCACCGCGCAAACGCAGGGCAGCCAACGUGAUGACCCGAACCGGGCAAAACUUCCUCUUUCAUUCAACGUGUGUCAAGCGGUAAAGACGUACUUUAGUGUACCUGCUUUCCCGCAUUUCCUAAAAUGAGAGCUAAGUGGCGUAAGAAGCGUAUGCGGAGGUUGAAGCGUAAACGCAGGAAGAUGCGUGCGAGGUCCAAGUAAAUCACUGGAUUCCAAGACGUCCGUAUUUCUAAAAUAAGGAUAAAUCCCAACACACGAGACAAAAACCAACAAGUCCCCCGUCUGGUGCUGAGUUUCGGUUCCGGAUUGUACGGUUUCGAACGGCUUCGGGCCAUCAAAUGAGUGCACACGGUUAAUUCCAUAAUUGUGAUUUUAUCGUACAACAAUGAUGUCCAAUAAACAACCACGAGGAAGAGUUAACCGGCUUUUGGGCAGCCCGGGUGUGUUCCCGGUUGAAGGAGCCGGUGCUCAGAUCGGCGGUGGAUUAAAAA
Long non-coding RNA from Uranotaenia lowii, 507 nucleotides. RefSeq lists it as uncharacterized. The transcript is spliced from 3 exons. NCBI's taxonomy places the organism in Eukaryota, Metazoa, Arthropoda, Insecta, Diptera, Culicidae. The record is from RefSeq and is a predicted model, not a curated record.